UUAUAUAGUAAUAUUUUUGAUAUAUCAGCUUAAAUAUGGUAAGCAAGUCUCUACCCUGAAACCGCAAAUUACAGGACUAUCAAAAAUAUUU
RNAcentral lists this non-coding RNA (91 nucleotides) under uncultured Anaeroplasma sp. RNAcentral describes it as "Purine riboswitch". It matches the Rfam family "Purine riboswitch aptamer". From Rfam's summary of the family: Riboswitches are metabolite binding domains within certain messenger RNAs that serve as precision sensors for their corresponding targets. The record is from RNAcentral. Lineage: Bacteria; Bacillati; Mycoplasmatota; Mollicutes; Anaeroplasmatales; Anaeroplasmataceae.